Small nuclear RNA from Mesocricetus auratus (golden hamster), 96 nucleotides. NCBI's taxonomy places the organism in Eukaryota, Metazoa, Chordata, Mammalia, Rodentia, Cricetidae. The record is from Ensembl.
CUCCUGCUAUGCUAAGACAUAGACUAAAAUUGGAACGAUGCAGCAUGACCCUUGCUCAAGGAUGACAUGCAAGUUUGCCAGGCUUGCUGUAUUUGC